UACGUAGGCAGCAAGCGUUGUUCGGAGUUACUGGGCGUAAAGGGCGCGUAGGCGGCUUGACAAGUCACUUGUGAAAUCUCCGGGCUUAACUCGGAACGGCCAAGUGAAACUGUCAUGCUAGAGUGCAGAAGGGGCAAUCGGAAUUCUUGGUGUAGCGGUGAAAUGCGUAGAUAUCAAGAGGAACACCUGUGGCGAAGGCGGCCGUCUGGGCCGACCCUGACGCUGAGGCGCGAAGGCGUGGGGAGCGAACGGG
Molecule: ribosomal RNA, 253 nt
Filed under: uncultured bacterium
Lineage: Bacteria
Description: partial 16S ribosomal RNA
Rfam family: Bacterial small subunit ribosomal RNA
Source: RNAcentral